Molecule: ribosomal RNA, 460 nt
Filed under: uncultured bacterium
Lineage: Bacteria
Description: partial 16S ribosomal RNA
Rfam family: Bacterial small subunit ribosomal RNA
Source: RNAcentral
CCUACGGGCGGCAGCAGUGAGGAAUAUUGGUCAAUGGACGAGAGUCUGAACCAGCCAAGUAGCGUGAAGGAUGACUGCCCUAUGGGUUGUAAACUUCUUUUAUAUGGGAAUAAAAUGUUCCACGUGUGGGAUUUUGUAUGUACCAUAUGAAUAAGGCUCGGCUAACUCCGUGCCAGCAGCCGCGGUAAUACGGAGGAACCGAGCGUUAUCCGGAUUUAUUGGGUUUAAAGGGAGCGUAGGUGGAUUGUUAAGUCAGUUGUGAAAGUUUGCGGCUCAACCGUAAAAUUGCAGUUGAAACUGGCAGUCUUGAGUACAGGAGAGGUGGGCGGAAUUCGUGGUGUAGCGGUGAAAUGCUUAGAUAUCACGAAGAACUCCGAUUGCGAAGGCAGUUCACUGGACUGCAACUGACACUGAGGCUCGAAAGUGUGGGUAUCAAACAGGAUUAGAUACCCCGGUAGUC